CACGUACCUUGCUGAGCACAUUUACCUAGUUGGGCACCGCAUGUACCUUGCUGGGCACAUUUACCUAGUUGGGCAGCACGUGUACCUUGCUGGGCACAUUUACCUACUUGGGCACCACAUGCACCUUGUGGACAAGCACCUAUGGAGCACUGCUGUGCUGCAGCGUUAGUUUGCGGUGCUGGAGGAGCUAUACGAAAAAUGUACAGGCCUGCCGGGUUUCAAGCAGGCAGCAUGGACACGGGUAUCUCGUUUAUUCAACAGCAUGGCAACUACAAAGCGUGGCGGCUUCCAGCAGAAUUUUCCACCGGGGGAAGCGGCCAAAUGGCUGAGGUCAAAGCCUCCACACUUCAAUCGCGGCGAGGCCCUUCGCUUCCCCGGCACUCCUCUGUCGGGAUAAGCCCUCGCCGACAACCGGCCCGGCGGGGCGCAGGGCCCGCCCCG
Long non-coding RNA from Cygnus olor (mute swan), 441 nucleotides. RefSeq lists it as uncharacterized. NCBI's taxonomy places the organism in Eukaryota, Metazoa, Chordata, Aves, Anseriformes, Anatidae. The record is from RefSeq and is a predicted model, not a curated record. The transcript is spliced from 3 exons.